CUGUGAUCUCCUUCAGUGAUGGGUACAGCACAUCCUUGGAGAGUAGGUUCUGCAUAAUACUCUGCAUGAUGGGGAGGAUGUUCCCUUCCCCAUCCCCUUCGUCCAUGCCUAGCCCCUCCAUGGCCUUGGUCAGCUCUUCUUCCGACAUGCUGGAGUUCUAGAUAGGACAAUUCCUCAGCGGCGGCCAUCUUGCUACCUCCGACUUGCCGUAGGAGGCGGGACC
Molecule: long non-coding RNA, 223 nt
Filed under: Homo sapiens (human)
Lineage: Eukaryota; Metazoa; Chordata; Mammalia; Primates; Hominidae
Description: HSALNT0016291
Source: RNAcentral